AUUGAACGCUGGCGGCAGGCCUAACACAUGCAAGUCGAGCGGAUGAAGGGAGCUUGCUCCUGGAUUCAGCGGCGGACGGGUGAGUAAUGCCUAGGAAUCUGCCUGGUAGUGGGGGAUAACGUCCGGAAACGGGCGCUAAUACCGCAUACGCCCUGAGGGAGAAAGUGGGGGAUCUUCGGACCUCACGCUCUCAGAUGAGCCUAGGUCGGAUUAGCUAGUUGGUGGGGUAAAGGCCUACCAAGGCGACGAUCCGUAACUGGUCUGAGAGGAUGAUCAGUCACACUGGAACUGAGACACGGUCCAGACUCCUACGGGAGGCAGCAGUGGGGAAUAUUGGACAAUGGGCGAAAGCCUGAUCCAGCCAUGCCGCGUGGGUGAAGAAGGUCUUCGGAUUGUAAAGCACUUUAAGUUGGGAGGAAGGGCAGUAAGUUAAUACCUUGCUGUUUUGACGUUACCAACAGAAUAAGCACCGGCUAACUUCGU
Molecule: ribosomal RNA, 483 nt
Filed under: uncultured bacterium
Lineage: Bacteria
Description: partial 16S ribosomal RNA
Rfam family: Bacterial small subunit ribosomal RNA
Source: RNAcentral